Molecule: long non-coding RNA, 2400 nt
Organism: Pezoporus flaviventris
Lineage: Eukaryota; Metazoa; Chordata; Aves; Psittaciformes; Psittacidae
Exons: 2
Source: RefSeq, a predicted model, not a curated record
GGGCUCCAGCCUGACAUGUUUUGUUCACCACCGUUUGGUCAUUUUUUACCCUUGUGUGAUAAAAUAACAAUAUUGUGCCUAGGAUUAGAGUUUUUAGGUUACUAUCAUCACCUGUUUAGGUGCUGAACAUGUGAAUAUUGAUGCACACAUGUAAGUGACAGGCUACAAGGAGCCCCUCUCUUCGGAGCUGUGGUUUGUUGCAGUGAGGUUAUCCCCAGGACUGCUGCUCUCACCCUGAGUGCUUCCCUAUCCUGUAUGGUUCUGCUGGGGGGAUUUCUGCUGUUGCUGUGAAAUCAGUUGUCUUUGGCUCGAGUAGGUCCAGGUCUCUUCCUGGAGGGUUCAGCUGACUCCUUUCCAUCACAGAAAUGGAUUCAUCCUGCCACCUCCUUUUCUCCUCACCUGCAGUAUUAGCAUAUGUGGUUGUGACAAUGCCAAAACUGCUGUUUGUGUUAAUGGAGCUAGAAAUGAUUUUGUUGGUGUUUUAGAAAAUUGACAUCUUUUUCUAUGGGGUGCCAAUAAGGGGGUCAGUGAACCAGUUUCAUCCCAGCGCAGUUGCUUUUAUGAACUUGGCCCAGGACUUUGCGAGCAGAUUAUUUUUGCGUUCAGAUUCCAUUGAGGAUUUUUGGUUAAUCUUUGGGUGGCUUGUUUAUUUAAAUUAAGCCCUAAUUAAGUUAAGAAGCUUUUUUUGCCAUUUAAUACUGUAUCAGAGUAAAAGAUUACACUGCCGAACCACACGUGCCUUUGUAACACAGCUGUAUCUGAGGUAGUAAAAUGUGCUAUGCUGUUUCUGUUUCAUUUACUGCACAGAAAGCACUUUAUCAGAAAGAGGCACUUUUAUUGUCAGUGUCAUAUGGAGGAAUGGAAGAACUUGAGAGAAUAAGGUUAACUGCCUGUUUCUAUGUAGCUUAUGAUGUUGACAUUUAUUUUCUGUGAAUGGCACAUGUAACAGACUCUGGCCUGUAGGCAUAUAUAGAUGAUAACAUGAGUUGGGUAGUAACUGGUAAAGAAAAAAGAAAACAGAUGGCAAGUUCUCUGACUGUAUUUGCUAGUUCAUCGUGGAAUGGGUUAAGGAAAUACUCCAUGCGUAUAGUAAAUGUGGUUUGUGUCUCUCAUUUUCCUGAAUACAAGCAUGCAAUUGGCAGUGACACAGUGGGAGCUGACUGUGGUCACUGAGCUCUGGCUGAGUACAGCAGUGACCUCAGGGACUGAGCAAUGUGAAAUGCCAUAUUACAGGCUGGGACCCUCAGGCACUAGCCUCUUAAUAUAAAAUGCAAAGAUAUCAGUAUCUACAAUAGAGGUGGGUAACUGCUUCCCCUGAGUGUCUUGCACUGGAGAGUCAAUGUGCUUCCUUUGAGUUUAUUGCCUUAUUUAUAUAAUGUUUUCUUGGGAAUCUUCUAAGCAAAAAAAGGGAGAAAGCAAGAGUAUUUCUACCCCAUCAGUCAAAUAUAAUGUGGCUGAUGUCCAUUCAAAACUGUUUAUAUUGCAGGUAUCAAGCUUUUGAAAAUAGUUUACUAGCUAACUAAAGAAGAUAAAGAAUCCUGAAUCUUGAACAACUUCCAGUGAAUGAGUGUCUUGAAGGGGUUGGAAAAGAACUGUUUGAAUUAAUUAUCUAUUACUAAAUAUUUACUCACAUUUAUCCUUCACCAAGACAGGAAUAAAACUGAAGUACUAUAAAGAUUCAGGGAGCAUAUCACACUGGCUAAAUAAACACAUAUAGUAACAUCAUCUGUUGAAGUAAGAAAUGCCAUGUUUUUGCAGGCUUGUUAAGUCAAAAAAAUGUAUUGAAUAGACUGGUGUAUCAAAAACUCAAUGAAUAAACACACUUCAGUACCUAACAAGUAAGAGGGAACAUAUUCAGCACCAGGUUAGACUGCUUGUUUUAGUUGGCUGUUUGUACUUUAAUAUCUGUCGUGGCUUAAUCCAUUUUCUUUCCCACCUGGUUACUUCCCACCCCUCAGGUGUCCUGGUUGUCUGCUGUUAGAACGGAUGCCUGGGAGGCGACAUCCCUCUGAGCACUGCCACAAAGGUUGUUGGAGGACACUGGGAAGCUCAAACAAAGGCAUGUUUGCAAAGAGGCUGUAAGAGACCAAAACUGCGCUGUCAAGUGCUGAAGCAGCAGGCGCUUGAGCUCAGCUGUAUCCCACAGAGCCACACUACCUGUUUGGGAUAGACUCAUCAGAACUGGGACUUACAAUCCAAGGCAUCUGUGUAUACACUGUGCAAGGUAUGCUGUUGCUGGGGUUCCUGAACGCUGUGCUUCACCCUGUGGAGCCAGGAACCGGCUCAAGCAGAGCGGGGGAAAAUGGGUUUGUUAGGAUUUGUGGUAUUUAAAUUGCUGUGUAGUUAAUGUCUGUAACUAUUCAUUUUUGAGACAAUAUACCUCACAUAGAUACAUACAUA